AACGAACGCUGGCGGCAUGCCUAACACAUGCAAGUCGAACGAAGUCUUCGGACUUAGUGGCGCACGGGUGCGUAACGCGUGGGAAUCUGCCCUUGGGUGCGGAAUAACUUCUCGAAAGGGAUGCUAAUACCGCAUAAUGUCGUAAGACCAAAGAUUUAUCGCCCAAGGAUGAGCCCGCGUAAGAUUAGCUAGUUGGUGGGGUAAAAGCCUACCAAGGCGACGAUCUUUAGCUGGUCUGAGAGGAUGAUCAGCCACACUGGGACUGAGACACGGCCCAGACUCCUACGGGAGGCAGCAGUGGGGAAUAUUGGACAAUGGCGAAAGCCUGAUCCAGCAAUGCCGCGUGAG
Molecule: ribosomal RNA, 348 nt
Filed under: uncultured bacterium
Lineage: Bacteria
Description: bacterial SSU rRNA
Rfam family: Bacterial small subunit ribosomal RNA
Source: RNAcentral